AUAUCCAGCGCAUAAUGCUUCACAAAGGUAUCCGCCGAGGCCCACGUCGCCGCCCUGCAGAUGUCCUGGAGUGGAACACCUCUGAAGAGAGCCGCUGACGACGCCUGGGACCUGGUGGAGUGGGCAUGCACUUGCAAAGGACAAGGAACGGCCUUCGGUCUCACAGCAGGAUCCGAAGUCAUCGGAACCGUAGAGGUGGUCUGAGUUGGCGGAGUCGACCUCGGAACCGACGGAGUCGAACCUCUAUGGGCGCCACGAGCAGGCGAAGCCGAGACAGCCGACGAGAUCGAGGGAGGUCGACUUGCUAGAUGUCUCGGAACCGAAGCGGUCGGUUCCGACAAACUCCGACCCGAAGGGAUCCUCUCGGACCUCGACUCCGAGCGACUCGGAGACGGCUGAGAACGAGGAGUCUUGGAACCCGAAGGUACAGGAGGACGAGAGGACGCAGACGGAGCAGACGAAGACUUCGGUGGAGGGUCCUCGACCGACAUCGCACGCUGCCAGAGAAAGGCAUGCAAACGAUCCGUCCGUUCCGCCCGGGCCUUGGAGGUCUCGCAACGCUUAAACAAGGCCUUCUCAGACAUCGCGAACGAAGAAAGCUGUUAAACCUCAACGAUCGGCGGCGAAAGAGAAACUGAGGGUAUGUGAGGGGCGCUCCGCCUCUUAAGGGCCGUUUCGGCGGGAAAGCGGCCGCGCAUGCGCGCUGAGAGGCGGGAGCGCCCCCUGGUGGUGUUUAGCUAUUAAAAUCUCCGGUAUCGGCAGGCCUGCGCGUGCGCAGUCCCAUGUGGGACUGCACAGGA
Long non-coding RNA from Eublepharis macularius, 800 nucleotides. RefSeq lists it as uncharacterized. The record is from RefSeq and is a predicted model, not a curated record. The transcript has 3 exons. NCBI's taxonomy places the organism in Eukaryota, Metazoa, Chordata, Lepidosauria, Squamata, Eublepharidae.